Molecule: ribosomal RNA, 774 nt
Filed under: Lichenothelia arida
Lineage: Eukaryota; Fungi; Ascomycota; Dothideomycetes; Lichenotheliales; Lichenotheliaceae
Description: partial small subunit ribosomal RNA
Rfam family: Eukaryotic small subunit ribosomal RNA
Source: RNAcentral
GAUAAAAAACCAAUGCCCUCCGGGGCUCCUUGGUGAUUCAUAAUAACUCAACGAAUCGCAUGGCCUUGCGCCGGCGAUGGUUCGUUCAAAUUUCUGCCCUAUCAACUUUCGAUGGUAGGAUAGUGGCCUACCAUGGUAUCAACGGGUAACGGGGAAUUAGGGUUCGAUUCCGGAGAGGGAGCCUGAGAAACGGCUACCACAUCCAAGGAAGGCAGCAGGCGCGCAAAUUACCCAAUCCCGACACGGGGAGGUAGUGACAAUAAAUACUGAUACAGGGCUCUUUUGGGUCUUGUAAUCGGAAUGAGUACAAUUUAAAUCCCUUAACGAGGAACAAUUGGAGGGCAAGUCUGGUGGACCAUGUCCUAGCAGCACUGCUGACGCCAGAUAGAGUGGAGGCCCUGAACAUCUGCUAGUCGAGCAUCCAUUUGCCCUGAUGGGGGGAUGCCGGCAAGGUAACCUGGAACGGGGGAUCCGUGUAGGCUUUGCAAGGCUUGCGGUAAUCCCGUGGCGAGCGCUUCAUCGCGCCGUCGUAACGCGCGCAAAGGUACCGGCCGUUUGACGGCUCAAGGGACGUGCUAAACCCGUACGAAAGUAUGCCUCUAGUUGAUAGCACCCAUCAUGCGAUGGCUGGAGGGCACCGGAAUGGUGUGGCAAGUUGACCAUUAGCCGGCAACGCGCCGGUAAACGUCAUCUUUUCUUGGCCAGCAGCCGCGGUAAUUCCAGCUCCAAUAGCGUAUAUUAAAGUUGUUGCAGUUAAAAAGCUCGUAGUUGAAC